AAUCGCAUCGGUUCCAACGGCGGCCGUUUCCAAGGACACCCUUUCGUCUCCUCCGAUGACUCCACUCCCUCUUCCGUAACAGUCAUACCAGAUGGCUACCGUCUCAUCAAUCCUUUUCUCUUCCCUCGGUACACAACACAACACCAAUAACACCUUCCCAGUACCCACAUCCUCUGAUACUAUCUCUCUUUCCCUUCCCAUGGAAGAAACAUCUCCAAAAUAAUCCUUUUGAGUUCUCUCUGUAACAAGUCUGCCCCCUUCUUCAGGUCCUCCCUCACCCUCACCGCUCAAAGGCUGGCCAUCCCACAUCUACACCGAAGAACCCUAUGCAGGACCCCUUUCGCUUCCCUAGUAACAAAAAGUCUCAGAGGCCUUUCGAGCAGCUACGAAUGAAGCCUUUGAUCAUGAUGACUUCUUCUCAAAAGAAGAGGAAUCGGAAUGGUUAUCAUCACUUUACACAAAAAAAGAUGGCUCCAAAUCAAGAAUAUAUACUAUACAGGAGGAUGCUGGCAUAGAACGAAUCAAACGUUUUGGGAAGGUGAUUCCUUUCUUGCCCAAGGUAGAUCGAGAGGGAUCUUGGUGGCUUGGAGAGUACAUCUCAUAAAAAAAUAAUUUUUAUCAAGGUACUGCGUGAGAGAAGGUGAUGUGUCCUCUCGCAUGGCUUUUUGGGUGCUACGACGGCAACUUGCUCUCUGUCCUACCUGCUGCUUCUGCUGUGUCAUUUUUACCAGGGGAUCUGAUGCUCUCUCAGUGUGCUCUCCACGUGGAAAUCAUGCCUUGGUAGGUCAAACUUAUCACGAUCAGUCAUAAAAGUAGCAGAAGAAAGCAUCACCAUGUAGUUCCAUCCCAUUCAUAUCUUUUCCGCACUAGUUUAUCUUAUCAUAUUACCGUAUCGCUUUGUCUGGAAGCCUUUCUUUUUACCCUUUGC
Musa acuminata AAA Group (dessert banana) is the source of this 928-nucleotide long non-coding RNA. RefSeq lists it as uncharacterized. The transcript is spliced from 3 exons. NCBI's taxonomy places the organism in Eukaryota, Viridiplantae, Streptophyta, Magnoliopsida, Zingiberales, Musaceae. The record is from RefSeq and is a predicted model, not a curated record.